GCAGUCGAGGGGUAGAAGGAGCUUGCUCCUUUGAGACCGGCGCACGGGUGCGUAACGCGUAUGCAAUCUACCUUUUACAGCGGGAUAGCCCAGAGAAAUUUGGAUUAAUACCUCAUAGUAUAUUAGAAUGGCAUCAUUUUAAUAUUAAAGUCACAACGGUAAAAGAUGAGCAUGCGUCCCAUUAGUUAGUUGGUAAGGUAACGGCUUACCAAGACGAUGAUGGGUAGGGGUCCUGAGAGGGAGAUCCCCCACACUGGUACUGAGACACGGACCAGACUCCUACGGGAGGCAGCAGUGAGGAAUAUUGGGCAAUGGAGGCAACUCUGACCCAGCCAUGCCGCGUGCAGGAAGACGGUCCUAUGGAUUGUAAACUGCUUUUAUACGGGAAGAAACACCCCCUCGUGAGGGGGCUUGACGGUACCGUAAGAAUAAGGAUCGGCUAACUCCGUGCCAGCAGCCGCGGUAAUACGGAGGAUCCAAGCGUUAUCCGGAAUCAUUGGGUUUAAAGGGUCCGUAGGCGGCCUUAUAAGUCAGUGGUGAAAUCUCCCAGCUCAACUGGGAAACUGCCAUUGAUACUGUAGGGCUUGAAUAUUAUGAAGUAACU
This 604-nucleotide ribosomal RNA is filed under the name bacterium SL2.4. Its description in RNAcentral is "bacterial SSU rRNA". It matches the Rfam family "Bacterial small subunit ribosomal RNA", at positions 57 to 661 of the family's 1533-position model. The record is from RNAcentral.